GCCAGCCCCAGUCAAAUGUCUUUUAUAAGAGUCAUACUGAAACAUUUCCACCACUGCCUGCCAUUACUCCUUGACCAAUAUAGUCUGAUGACCAUUCAUGCAGCAUUGACACUGUGUUGCAAAUUCCAGGUUGCCUGGGGAAGAUGUCAAGUAUAAGAGGAUGUCCACUGGGUCUACGCACAUAUGACACCGUCUCACCCAAGGAACAUUUCAGUCUCUGGGUUGUGGUGUGUUUGAGAGCACGGGACCAACUGUAUACACGUAUAUGCAGUAGACUUUCCAGAGAGACUUUUUGUACUAUGUAACGUUGCCUAAUUAGAACUGUAAGACGCACAUUUUAGUGUUGUCCAUGACGCAACAGGGCCCCUCGUUGUCGUUGUUGCUGCUUUUGAUAUUUUACAGCAAAGGAAGUGAACAACUAUAGAACUAGGAGUUUUAGAGUCCUGUUAUGUUCGGGGUUAGAACUCAGACGCUUCCUAGCUUGAACCCUAAAUUUAGUAGCCGAGGACUUAGCCCCUAUGUCUGUUUCACUGUUUGUCAACUUAACCAUGUAAUUGCUUCCCUUGUCUUAAGUCCCCUUUUCUUCUUUUUGUUGUUAUUUUUGUCUUCUAGUUUCUUAAGAUGAAUUCCAACUCCUAUUUUUAAUUUUCUAUUAUACUAAAGACAGUGUUUAAAGCUAUUUUCUCUAAAUACAACUUUUUGUGCAUGC
RNAcentral lists this long non-coding RNA (709 nucleotides) under Rattus norvegicus (Norway rat). RNAcentral describes it as "long non-coding RNA NONRATT010980". Lineage: Eukaryota; Metazoa; Chordata; Mammalia; Rodentia; Muridae. The record is from RNAcentral.